ACGGGCUGGAUAUUUGCCUCCUCCUCCCCUCGUAGGUGCUGUGCAGCCACCAGGGUCUGUGGUUCUGUGACCCUGAGUGCCGACCGAUGGGGACACGAUCCAGUCUUGUCAGUGAAUCAUCUUCAGGCUGCUUAUUGGAAACCAGAUGGUGAGAGAAAAUGGGGUGUAACCCAUGCCUCCCAGGUGACUCUUCCCCCACUGCCAGGGGCCUCGAAACCAGCAUUCCAGGUGGCAGGAAGACCUCCGAGCUGGGCUCGGCUUCCGGCGCCCCUCCCCCGCGUCAGUCAUGUAAGUAGCCGGGACUCAGCACCCAGCCCCGGCGGGAGGGAGAAGCUGCUGCCUCGCGGGAACCUUCCAGCGCUCUGGAUUUGAACACGUCGUGGUAGCACAGAACGAGGCGGCAGCAUCAGCUUCCUGGGGCUUUGUGUCUCUUGGCUCCAUGGGUUUGCUUAUGGACCUCAUAAACCAGGAUUCCUCCUCUCCUCCCCGCUUUCCUCCCAUGUUAUUUUGUGGGCACCAGGCCUGGCAUGGGAUUUUUAGGACUUUAAAAGACACAGACAGCAUCAUUUCUAGAAUGCAGUAGAAGCUCUCUUUGCAAUCUCCAGACUGCUGUUUAACCCAUGGCCCACGAGUUCUGUCUAUUUAACCCUCAGAUGUUUUUGUUUGGCCUACACAGAGUUUUUGUUGAUUUUUUUUUAAAUGUAUCUGAUUUGCAUGCCUUUAGACAAAAAGCCUCUCCAGGUCACUACUCCUGCUGCAUGUCGCUGCUUCUCUCCUGUUUCCUGUCCCAGCCCUGGAGCAUUUGAAUGCACUCGACACCAGGCCUCAUGAGCCCUCCUUCUUUUUAGAACUGCGGUCCAUUCCAGGGAGGUGCAGGCCCCUUCUCUCGGGAGUCUGGGCUGAGCAGGAAUUAAAGCCGCUGAGUUCUGAUUCACUCUGCGGAGGCCUUUCCUCCACCCUCGGUCCCUGCCUAAGGCAGAGGAGGGUCCUAGGCAGGAGGGGGUGGUAGAAUGUCUGCAGAGAAAUGGAUGGGGGCCGCAGUGUGCUUCCCAAACCCUUUUCCCGCACGGUGGCCCCUCCCAGAGCUGACAUACCCACCCCUCUGGCUGGCCGGUUUUCCUUCCCGGACAGCCCACCAAGCCCUUCCCACUGGCCAGUUUGCCUGGGGCCAUUAGGCCAGGCAGGGAGGAUCACACCAUCCGCUUUUGACGGCCUAGCCCUCCCAGGCUGGGGCUUCUCCGGGCUGCCUUCUUACAGAUGGAGGUGGCCAUCGAGCUGCGUGCCAGGGAGCGCAGGCCCCUUCCAGCCCCCAUCCAGCCCCCUAGCUACAUCCAGCUGGGGAACAAGAACACCAGCUGGCUUCAGGUAAGUGAGCCAUUGCUUGGCAGACUUCGUGAGAGCAGCCUGGUUCUUUUGGGAGGGCUGAGACCUGCAUAGACUCUUGUAUCCAGUGGGGUUGUAGGGGCAAAAGGUCUUGGUACUAGGAUUACUUUCUUCCCCUCUUCUUGUGUUAGAGUGUUUAUGGUACUGUGUUAAGAAUGAUGUCUCUCUUCCUCCAGAGAACUGAGUAUGGUAGAACUCAGGUGCUGGGAGCCCGAGCUCUGGGUCAUGGCCAUUAGUUCCCUCAGUGAUGGUUGCUCCUCUGCAAUGCCCCCCGCCCCCCGAACUCUGGGCUGAUGCUCCCUGGGUAGCAGGAGAGACUGUCAUUAAUCACCCUGAUGACCACGUAACGUACGUGCAUCCUGAAGGACAAGAACUAGGUGCUGUGACCCAAUCCCUGGCUCACCUGGGGAAGGCUUCAGGCGACCUGCAUUACCUGGGGGAGGGUUGACGGGUGGUAGUUCUGGGAGGGUGGACAGAGAAUGUUCCAGAAAGAGGGAGCAGUGUAUGCAAAGGCCUGCUGGGGAAGGAAGGGGGCCAUCUGGAUCACUGAAAGACACUUGUGUGACAACACGUUAGGAAAUGUUCUGUGGAUACUGGCAGUUGGAAGUUGCUAAGGAGGAAGAGUUCAGCUGGAGUCAAAUGCCGAAAAGCUGAGCGGAACCAAAUAUAGAGCCCCAACCCCCUCUAUGAAAUGACUAUCAUUUACCACUUCCUGACCUUACAACCCUGGAAGUUACCUGCUUACCGGGGCCCAGCUGUUGACGGCAGGUGUCCUUGAUCAGAGCUGCUGCCCUGCCCUCCUGUCAGUGGCUGAGGCUGUGCAAAGGCCCUGGGCUUGGAGCCCAGUGCUGGGGUCAGAAUCUGCAGUCCAGCACAGGCAUUGUGGGCGGGUCCUCUCCAGCGCCUCCCCCCAACACAGCCAUGCUGUGGGUGUGGGAGGACGCAGCAGGCCAGCUCAGAGCACCGGGCCCCCUGCAGAACCAGCUGGGCUCCUGUCUCAACCGAAGUUCAACCUGUUGUCAGUCACAUCCACAGCCAUGCAGAAACAUUGCCUAGGACUACCUUGCCUCCCCCUGCCCCAACCUUGCUCACAGUUGAGAUCAAGAACAGAAGGAGAUGAUAGACCAGCCAUGGAGCAGGCACAGUGGGCCAAGGGGCAGGAACAGAGACUGUGGAGUUAGAUCUGGGAUCUGCACCGUGUAUUAGUCACGUGACCGUGGGCAAGUUACUGAAGCGUGUUAAAGAGCAGUUUCUCCUGCAAGCAUGGGAAUAAUCCGUGCUUCCCGGGGCUGACACAAUUAAAGAGCACACUUUAGUGUUCAGAUUUUAUUUCCUCCUCUUCCCUGGAGAAGCGUAUGCUGUUAUUUCCAAGAGCCACAAUAUUUACAGGCCUGUGUCUGGAGGCCCACACAGCUGGUAGAGAGCCGCAGAGGUACAGAUUCCACUGUCUCUCUUUCCGGGGUUGUGGUACCCCGGGAAAACAGACACGUUUUCUCAGCUUCAGACAACCAAAAACGACCCAUUUAGGAGAUGGGAAAUCUAAUUUGAACACAGGAUGCAAAUCUUAUUUUCAGACAAAUUCUGAAAACAACACACAACUCAGUUCUCAGAGGAUUAUCUACUUAACACGGUUUUAGGACAUCACGUUUUUUUGUGUCACGGCCGAGGAUAAAUAAGAUUGCCAAUGUUCUGAGCCUUACAUAAGGCGGGGAAGGAGGAGCCUGAGCUCUUUCUGAGCAGGGCACAUGGAAGGGUUGCCCAGGCCUGGGCGAAACGCCCCUCUGUGUACUGGCUAGAACCUCAUGGGCAGAUAGGGUGCUUGUUUCCCGACGACGUGAGCUAGGAUUGGAAAACACUCCGCGUGCCAUGAAAUAUUUUCUAGAGCAGGGCAGUGCUAAUGAAGGUAUCAAUGCAUUUUGAUAAUAGCUCUGGGAGACUUGAUUUUAUCCUAUAGCUAAUACUCUUAUUAGGACCCGUUGUGGAAUUAAACAGCAUUAACCAGACUUCAUGAGUUAUGUACCACUACCGAGUGUGUGAAGCCUCAGCCGUGACGUCAGCCGGCCUCGAGCGCCACUGGGGAGCUCUUCGCUGGGCCUUUGUCACGGAUGGUGAUGUCACAUCACAAGCGGAACCGCAAGAAGACCUCCCUCCCUCCUCGGGGCAGAGCCUGGGUCUUCCGAUGACAUCUUCCUUCUUUCUUCAAUGAGAUCCUCUUCUUCUGGAAGCUGGUUUCACAUGGUGGCUUAGAUUUUUCCAUCUUUGUAUCUAGCACCAUUUGAAAUCAGUGUUUUAGGAGUAAGAAUUGCAGCACAGCAAAGGGCCACCUGCAGAGGAGCCUCCGCGGGUGGGACGGGCGCCCUCCCCCUGCCCCUGAGCCGGCCCAAGAAAGGAAGACCUUGCAGAGGAGAGUGCACCCUAGCGUACGUGGGCUGUGGAGGGGUGAUGGCGCGGGGAGGGUGUGGUGUGUAAAGGGAACUCUGCCUCCGAGCAGGGGCAGAGGGGUGCCAGCUUGCCACAGCCACCAGGGCUCACCUGCCCGUUGGGCCUUCAAGCGCAGAGAUGGGGCCGUGCUCCACGCGGGGCUCAGUUGUACCAGGGGAGGGGCGGGGCUGUGUACCCGGAGGACGGCCCCAUCCACGUCAGCACUGCGCCUGCUCUAGACGCCCCGGAACCCUCAGCUGCUGCUGCAGGGCGGCUGGAAUCAGACUCGCCACCUGCACGGUCGAGGGCAGGACCCCCAGGAGCGCCACUGGACCCAUCUCUUACACAGGCUGACCGAUUUCUCCUGGUGUUCAGAGUCUGUUUUUGUCUAGCACCAUUUGAAAUCGGUUAUGAUGUAGGGGGAAAAGCAGCAGCCUCGAAGCCUCAUGCCAACGGUGGUGAGCAAGCGCCUGUGGUCUCCUGGAGGACGGAUGGGCAGAGAGUGGGGAAGGACGAUCUCGCGCUUUUUUCACUAACUUCUUUAACUGCAUUUAUGAUGCCUUAUUGCAGAGGUAAGAGAGAACUGAAUGUCUUUUGAAAAACAAAUGGCCAUAAUGCAUCUGAUGUCCCGGGUUGCAUGUUGCUGAAAUGUGGCAGCUGCUGCAGCUGCUGUCAGCGGUUGCUGUUGAAUCAUCUUUCCGUGAAGAGUCUGUUCGUGCCUCCUGACCUGAAUAAAUACUUCACUCUACUCAAUUAA
This is a non-coding RNA of Leptonychotes weddellii (Weddell seal), 4561 nucleotides long. NCBI's taxonomy places the organism in Eukaryota, Metazoa, Chordata, Mammalia, Carnivora, Phocidae. The record is from RefSeq and is a predicted model, not a curated record.